Caretta caretta (loggerhead turtle) is the source of this 2715-nucleotide long non-coding RNA. RefSeq lists it as uncharacterized. The record is from RefSeq and is a predicted model, not a curated record. NCBI's taxonomy places the organism in Eukaryota, Metazoa, Chordata, Testudines, Cheloniidae.
UGCUGGGAGCGGGCUGCGCGCUCCGCCUGCCCCAGCCGGUGCCAGGUCUGCAGCGAGCCCGGCAGCCCGCGUCCUUCCCUCCCCGCCGACCGACGACUUUCAAUUCACCUGCAGGCGGGCCGGGCGGGAGCGGCGCGGAGCCCUCCCGGCAGGCGGCGCGGCGGGAGGGGCCGAGUGGCGAGCGCCCCGGCUGGAGAACAGUCUUGUGAUGCCACGUGCAGAGUCCUCGGAAGCUAAGUCACCCUGGCUGCAAAGGGCGAGGUGGCUAAGUGGGGAAUGCAGGAUCAGGCUGUAUUUUCCCAGUGUAGACAUGGCCAUUUUCUUCCAUGGACCAACUCACAGAAGUAAAAUGAAGCAUAUACAUAAAUGUUUGCAGGAUUAAAAACCUCUACGAUUUGUAAUGCUUGCAGGGACAUAGCUCCAUUCAAAUGAGCAGAUGCGUCAUGAGCAAUCAUUAUACUGAUGAAAUUGGCCUACAGUGCAGAGCAGUUUUAUCCCAAUAUCAAGAUUGAGGUGAAUCUGAACAGAGGGUGUGGCUGAGACCAAGCCUGGAAGAUUCUUCCUAGAAGGAAAGUAAGUGAGUGAGUGAAACCAGGACACUAUAAUGGAAACAUCUUCUCAGAUCUAAAUACAGUGUUAGCUACCAUAAAGACUUAAUACUCUAGCAAAGAACUUCUGUAGCUACUCCCCAGCUGCUGAGUGACCUCUACUCCCAUUGAUUUCAGAGUCGAAGUCUCCUUGAACCUUACAGGAAGCGCUGUGUGUGUGUGGAUCAUCAUGCAGGACCGGGGCAUUGUAAAUACACAUACUUGCACCAUCUUAGUUAAACCACUCCAAAAUCAUGUGCAGGCACUCAUUUUAGUUUAGCUUAAAUCUGUUCCUAAUCAUUUUAAGCUGAACCGAGUAAGUGUCCACCCAGCCUUUUGCCUUAACUAAUCUGGUCAAAAUAACCCCUUACAUUAAAAUGGUGCAAUUCUAUGUGUAGACAAGCUCUAAACUGGGACCUGCUCCUACUUCUAUUGAAGUAAAUGUCAAAGCUUCCAGUGAAUUUACUGAAAGCAGGAUUGGAGUCCUUGCAAAGGAGUUAAGCAAUACUUCUGCUCUGUUGACAUGGAAUUCUUCAAAAGGAAUCUUCUUCUUGAAAAGCAUGUCUGUAUUCGAUACAGCCUUUGUUAGAGAAAGAAGCUCUAUAUAAACUUGUACAUCUGUUAUGGACAGCAAGAUUCUAUAUUGAUAUAUAGCUAUUCUCAAGGAGAGCACAGUAAGCAAUAAGUUAAGAGGAUUGGAUACCGGUACUCACCUAAAGAUCAAUGUUUUUAAAAAUGCUUUUUAGAUGUGAUAUGCCCCUACUUUUUGAGGUUUGUGCUACAUUAAAAUUUUCCAUUUAUGAACCAUUUCUGAUUCUCAAUGAUCAAAUGUAGAAAUGGAGGAAACUAUUUAGAUAUACUGUCCAUAAAACUUCUGUAUCUGGACUGCUGAUUUAAUGGCUCUGCUUUUGCUUUAAUUAAGUUUGCACUGCAUUGGAAGCAACUUAAAUCAUUCAGCAUUUGGAAGACAUGCCCAAAGGAACCCUUUUGCACUGUGGGAGAAGAGGAAGUGAUGGGGAGUGUAGAUGAGUACUACCAAAAGUUAAACUUUCCACACUUUGACCAUUUAAGAACAGUUUAGAAAUAAUAUGAUGGAAGACUCCCCUCACAUAAGAACGGCCAUACUGGGUCAGACCAAAGGUCCAUCUAGCCCAGUAUCCUGUCUUCCGACAGUGGCCAAUGCCAGGCGCCCCAGAGGGAACAAACAGAACAGGUAAUCAUCAAGUGAUCCAUCCCCUGUCGCCCAUUUGCAGCUUCUGGCAAAAAGCUGACUUUCCACCUCCUGCUGUCCCAAAGGAUUUGCUGUUACAGUAAUGCUAUUUUUUGUGAAUCAGGACCAGAACACACGUUUACUCUGUUUCUGCAAUUGUGCAGUACUGAUCGUUCUGUGCAAUGAAGAAUUUGUAAGUCACCUGAAUUGAUUAAGUAUAGUAUUGCACUGCUGCAGAAUUACUUAGCAAAGGCACUGUUCCCAGAAAGCACCAUUUACAGCAACGCGGAGCCACUGCAACAGAACAAAAACCCUGUGGAGGUCAGGGAGCUUGGAAUUCAGACUCUGAGCCAAAUUUAUCCCCUGGUGUAAGUCAUCCUAGUUUUGCAGUCAAUGGAAAAUUAGUUUAGCGCUCAAAGUUUUCUCUGGUCGUAGACAUUUUGGGAGGCAGAGAGGGGGAUGUUUUGUUUCUUCCUUUUGAAUUUCUCCCAUAGAUAUAUCCUUUUGUAUUUUGUUGGACUUAACUUCAGAUCUCCACAGUGAGGAAAAAUUGCAGAAAAACUGUCCUUCAGUAAUUCCGCAAUUAAUGUCUGCAGUGGAGGGAGAAGAAAGGAGUACUGCAACAAACUACAGUUCAUCCUAGCAACAGUCUCUCUCCUUUCAGAACACAACCCUUCACUAAAACUACUAUCAGAGGAAAAUAAUGUAAUUAAAAAUGGCAUAUAUGUAAAUAUUUAUCUCGGGUUUAUAAUAUCCCCCAUCAUCAUAGUAUCUAAUCUCUGAUGGAAAUAAUACCAUAAGAAUGCAAAAUUCUCUCUAUAAUAAAUGUAAAGGAAAACUGUCACAAAUUAAGAAUAACACAUUUCUUUACAUGUAUAACACCACGGAUUAUUAAAACUGAAAUAAUUUAAAAAAUAA